GUAGGUAGAGUAUACUAAGGGGCGCGAGAUAACUCUCUCUAAGGAACUCGGCAAAAUGACUCCGUAACUUCGGGAGAAGGAGUGCCUUAUUAUAAGGUUGCAAUAACAAGAUCCAAGCAACUGUUUAUCAAAAACACAGGUCUCCGCUAAGUCGUAAGACGAUGUAUGGGGGCUGACGCCUGCCCAGUGCCAGAAGGUUAAAGAAGUUGGUUAGUGUAUGCGAAGCUGAUGACUGAAGCCCUGGUGAACGGCGGCCGUAACAAUAACGGUCCUAAGGUAUCGAAAUUCCUUGUCGGGUAAGUUCCGACCCGCACGAAAGGCGUAAUGAUUUGGAUACUGUCUCGGAGAGAGGCUCGGUGAAAUAGACUUGUCUGUGAAGAUGCGGACUACCUGCACCAGGACAGAAAGACCCUAUGAAGCUUUACUGUAACUUGAAAUUGGAAUUGGACUUUGCUUGCGCAGUAUAGGUGGGAAGCGUUGAAGAUAUUCUUGCGGGAGUAUUGGAGCUAUCAGUGAGAUACCACUCUUGUAAUGUUAGAUUUCUAACUUUGAACCAUAAUCUGGUCAAAGAACAGUUUCAGGUGGGCAGUUUGACUGGGGCGGUCGCCUCCCAAAUGGUAACGGAGGCGUACAAAGGUUUCCUCUGAACGGAUAGAAAUCGUAUCUAGAGUGUAAAGGCAUAAGGAAGCUUGACUGUGAGACCUACAAGUCGAGCAGGGACGAAAGUCGGUCUUAGUGAUCUGACGGUACUGAGUGGAAAGGCCGUCACUCAACGGAUAAAAGUUACUCUAGGAUAACAGGCUGAUCUCCCCCAAGAGUUCACAUCGACGGGGAGGUUUGGCACCUCGAUGUCGGCUCAUCGCAUCCUGGGGCGGUAGUACGUCCCAAGGGUUGGGCUGUUCGCCCAUGAAAGCGGUACGCGAGCUGGGUUCAGAACGUCGUGAGACAGUUCGGUCCAUAUCCGGUGUAGGCGUUAGAAUAUUGAGAGGAGCCUUCUUUAGUACGAGAGGACCGAGAAGGACACACCGCUGGUGUACCAGUUAUCGUGCCAACGGUAAACGCUGGGUAGCUAUGUGUGGAGUGGAUAACCGCUGAAAGCAUCUAAGUGGGAAGCCCACCUCAAGAUGAGUAUUCCCAUGGCGUAAGCCAGUAAGGUCACGGGAAGAACACCCGUUGAUAGGCUCUAUGUGGAAGCGCAGUAAUGCGUGAAGCAGAGGAGUAC
This 1222-nucleotide ribosomal RNA is filed under the name metagenome. RNAcentral describes it as "bacterial LSU rRNA". It matches the Rfam family "Bacterial large subunit ribosomal RNA", at positions 1667 to 2901 of the family's 2925-position model. The record is from RNAcentral.